Molecule: ribosomal RNA, 185 nt
Filed under: uncultured bacterium
Lineage: Bacteria
Description: partial 16S ribosomal RNA
Rfam family: Bacterial small subunit ribosomal RNA
Source: RNAcentral
CUACAUGAAGCUGGAAUCGCUAGUAAUCGCGAAUCAGAAUGUCGCGGUGAAUACGUUCCCGGGUCUUGUACACACCGCCCGUCACACCAUGGGAGUCGGAUAUGCCCGAAGUCAGUGACCCAACCAUAUGGAGGGAGCUGCCGAAGGUGGAGCCGAUAACUGGGGUGAAGUCGUAACAAGGUAUC